Molecule: ribosomal RNA, 253 nt
Filed under: uncultured bacterium
Lineage: Bacteria
Description: partial 16S ribosomal RNA
Rfam family: Bacterial small subunit ribosomal RNA
Source: RNAcentral
UACGUAGGGGGCAAGCGUUGUCCGGAUUUAUUGGGCGUAAAGAGCGUGUAGGCGGCCGUACAGGUCAGCUGUGAAAACUCGAGGCUCAACCUCGAGACGUCGGUUGAAACCGUACGGCUAGAGUCCGGAAGAGGAGAGUGGAAUUCCCGGUGUAGCGGUGAAAUGCGCAGAUAUCGGGAAGAACACCGGUGGCGAAGGCGGGUCUCUGGGCCGAUACUGACGCUGAGGAGCGAAAGCGUGGGGAGCGAACAGG